GUGCCAGCAGCCGCGGUAAUACGGAGGGUGCAAGCGUUAUCCGGAUUCACUGGGUUUAAAGGGUGUGUAGGCGGGCUAUUAAGUCAGUGGUGAAAUCUCCGGGCUCAACCCGGAAACUGCCAUUGAUACUAUUAGUCUUGAAUAUUGUUGAGGUAGGCGGAAUAUAUCAUGUAGCGGUGAAAUGCAUAGAUAUGAUAUAGAACACCGAUUGCGAAGGCAGCUUACUAAACAAUUAUUGACGCUGAGGCACGAAAGCGUGGGGAUCAAACAGGAUUAGAUACCCUCGUAGUCC
Molecule: ribosomal RNA, 292 nt
Filed under: uncultured bacterium
Lineage: Bacteria
Description: partial 16S ribosomal RNA
Rfam family: Bacterial small subunit ribosomal RNA
Source: RNAcentral